Molecule: ribosomal RNA, 495 nt
Filed under: uncultured bacterium
Lineage: Bacteria
Description: partial 16S ribosomal RNA
Rfam family: Bacterial small subunit ribosomal RNA
Source: RNAcentral
GACGAACGCUGGCGGCGUGCCUAAUACAUGCAAGUAGAACGCUGAAGGAGGAGCUUGCUUCUCUGGAUGAGUUGCGAACGGGUGAGUAACGCGUAGGUAACCUGCCUGGUAGCGGGGGAUAACUAUUGGAAACGAUAGCUAAUACCGCAUAACAGUAGAUAUCGCAUGAUAUCUACUUGAAAGGUGCAAUUGCAUCACUACCAGAUGGACCUGCGUUGUAUUAGCUAGUUGGUGAGGUAACGGCUCACCAAGGCGACGAUACAUAGCCGACCUGAGAGGGUGGUCGGCCACACUGGGACUGAGACACGGCCCAGACUCCUACGGGAGGCAGCAGUAGGGAAUCUUCGGCAAUGGACGGAAGGCUGACCGAGCAACGCCGCGUGAGUGAAGAAGGGUUUCGGAUCGGAAAGCUCUGUUGUAAGAGAAAAACGAGUGUGAGACUGGAAAGUUCACACUGUGACGGUAUCUUACCAGAAAGGGACGGCUAACUACGUG